This 256-nucleotide ribosomal RNA is filed under the name uncultured archaeon. RNAcentral describes it as "partial 16S ribosomal RNA". It matches the Rfam family "Bacterial small subunit ribosomal RNA", at positions 521 to 776 of the family's 1533-position model. The record is from RNAcentral.
UAAUACGUAGGGUCCGAGCGUUGUCCGGAGUUACUGGGCGUAAAGCGCGCGCAGGCGGCUCGUCAAGCAUGGCGUGAAAGCCCCCGGCUCAACUGGGGAGAGUCGUCGUGGACUGGCGGGCUUGAGGGCGGCAGGGGCUGGUGGAAUUCCCGGUGUAGUGGUGAAAUGCGUAGAGAUCGGGAGGAACACCCGUGGCGAAGGCGGCCAGCUGGGCCGGCCCUGACGCUGAGGCGCGAAGGCGUGGGGAGCGAACGGG